GAUGAAGAACGCAGCGAAAUGCGAUAAGUAGUGUGAAUUGCAGAAUUCAGUGAAUCAUCGAAUCUUUGAACGCACAUUGCGCCCCUUGGUAUUCCAUGGGGCAUGCCUGUUCGAGCGUCAUUUAAACCUUCAAGCUAAGCUUGGUGUUGGGUGACUGUCCGCUUCACGGCGGACUCGCCUCAAAAUUAUUGGCGGCCGGUACAUUGGCUUCGAGCGCAGCAGAAACGCGAACUCGGGCCCGUCGUAUUGGCUCCCAGAAGCUAUCUUCACAAUUUUGACCUCGGAUCAGGUAGGGAUACCCGCUGAACUUAAGCAUAUCAAUAAGCGGAGGA
RNAcentral lists this unclassified non-coding RNA (332 nucleotides) under soil metagenome. RNAcentral's name for it is "partial contains 5.8S ribosomal RNA, internal transcribed spacer 2, and large subunit ribosomal RNA". The stretch from base 1 to 120 matches the Rfam family "5.8S ribosomal RNA", at positions 35 to 154 of the family's 154-position model. The record is from RNAcentral.